Carya illinoinensis is the source of this 3049-nucleotide RNA transcript. It is a transcript of the gene named anaphase-promoting complex subunit 11, with no coding region annotated. NCBI's taxonomy places the organism in Eukaryota, Viridiplantae, Streptophyta, Magnoliopsida, Fagales, Juglandaceae. The transcript is spliced from 5 exons. The record is from RefSeq and is a predicted model, not a curated record.
AAGGUUAGAGGGAACCAGAUGGUAAAGCUCGGAACCUAAAAUUUUUCCCUCCUUUUGUUCCCCCCUCCCCCCACUCUUCCCGGACGCACAGCCCUCCUCCCCCACAACGCCACUCUCUCUGCACGACUCCUCUGUGACCGCCACUUGCCACCGCGCCAGCCCCUCGCCGUCCGUCCAGGUUCGUGCCGUGCCGUGCCGCGCCUACGUCACACCGUGGCCACCGCCGGCAGGCCCUUACGCCUCCAUCCCGCCGUGCACCACUAGAUCUGUUUGAACGACGCCAGCAACCUCACGCCCUUUCUGUUUGAAACCGCGACGGACCAAAGGCCACCGUAGACAGCCUCUCACCGCCAAGGACAUUGGAAUCAGCCCUAGACAGCGGCGUCUCGCUCUCUAAAUUUUGACGGUCCAUCGCACGAAAUAUAGUAAUUUCGAGUUGUGAUACCGUUAGAGGUCGGACUCAAGGCUUAAAUAAUACACGGCAAGAGUCAAGUAAGCGGUGCUCCUAUGCUAGACUUUGCCUAAAUGGACCGAGGUUAAUUUUAUGAAAAACGUGCAUAUUUUGCUAUGUAAAACUUGAAAAAAACCUUGGUAUGCAUAACUCAAUUGUAUCUGAAUAAGAAGAAAGAUAUUUUGUCAUGACUGGUGUAGAGUCAUACAUGAGCAUUUUUAGCACUCUAUUUCUUAAUUGUAUAAAAAGAAGGAUUUGUCAAAAGAAAAAAAUAUAUAUAAAAAAACGAAUAUGAAAGUUUUAGACAUGAUGAUACGAAUAUGAUUUGUAUUUAUUUUGUGCUCUAUUAUGAAAUGAUAUUGCAUAUGAAAACUCUUUAAGGCAAAAUAUUUUGUUAUGCUCUGAUGUAUGGCCCUGCCACGUGACAUAAUAGUGGUCUCUGGCCCCCAUCAUGGGAUACAAUAGUGGCCUCCGGCCUUGCCAUGGGAUACAAUAGUGGCCUCUGGCCCCGCCAUGAGAUAUAAUAGUAGUCUCUAUUUUGAGUGCAUCACCUUGGUGACAAAACAUUGAUGUGUUAUGCUUGGUUAAAUGCAGACAUGCACAACCCUACCACAAGGGUAAAUAUGCCCUCUUCUUUUGUUUCUUCUGAUGUUUUAGUUAUGCUUGUGCCUAUGGUCUUUUAUAUAUUAUUAUUAUUGUAAUGGAAAGUUUUUGAAAAUACCACUACCAUAUUUUGAGAAAUAUCUGUUUUUGCAUUCUGUAACUGGCACAUGUUUACACACUAUUAUAGGCUCACUGCUUAUUGAGUUGUUGAUAACUCACCCAUUUUCUCCACUAUAUUUUUAGAUGAUUUUCGGGAUGCUGUCCCCAUACACCCGGUGCCAAUAAAAAAAAAAUAUUUUCAGAUGAUUUUGAUGGUUCAGCUGGGAAUCAAGGAUAGGAAGCGUGUGCAAAAUUUAGUUUAGAGGAUUGAGUACCAAAGGGUACUAUGAUUGUUGGGCUUUACCAGUAGAUUUGUCAUGUUAUGUUAAUUGGGUAUUUUGAGAGAUUGACAUUGUUAUUGACAGUUUGUGGAGCUGUUAAUUUAUUUUAUUUGAUUAUUGCAUUGAUGACCUUGUAGAGGAAUAUAUAUAAUUGGAUUAAAUAGAUGAAUUUAUGUUUAUGGAGUCUUUUGGAAUCUAUAUGUAUUGUGGGAGACAAUUUUCUAGGUGACAGGAAGUGACUCCCUAAUGCUCCGGGUAUGGGGCAUUACAUUUAGCCUCUUAACCAUAGUUAAACUCAUGGCUUUUGUAUUUUUGCCUACUGGAAGUUUGGGCUGUCCCUGUUUUAUAUGUUGUAUGUUGAGAUUUGUAGUUGAGUGAUUUCAUGUUUGGUUGACGUAUGGAGGGUCUCGUGUUUAUAAUGUCAUGGUCAUAGGAGGGAAUGAAUGUGAAAAUGUGAGUUGGUGUUCUGAUGUGUCGGGAGUAUGGUUGUAAAUUGAGACGUGUGUUGGGGUGAGAUUUAAGCAAAUCCAAGAAGAUUGGGUUAGCCUAUUGGUGGAGUAGUGCAUGGAUGUUGUACUUGGCCAUUAUAAACCCAAGGCACCAGAAUGGACUAUUUUGUUUAUGGGCUCACUUUGAGCUAUAGUUUUGGGCUAUAGAGUUUUAUUAGUUUGUUGGUUUUGUAUUUGUAGAAGUUAUUAAUAUGUUAGCGAUAUCUUUCUGAAUUAGGUUGUGAAAAUAAUUGGUGCUCCUAUGCUAGACUUUGCCUAAAACUGACUAAUGUUGAUUUACUGAAAACUUGCAUAAUUUAUUGUGAAAUCAACCUUGAUUAUUUUUCUGCACUAGUAUCUGUAUUUGAACAUUGAAAUGUGAUAUUUUAUCAUGAUUGGUGUAGACAUGAGCACUUUUUUGUACUUUGUUUCUCUACUGCAUAAAAUGUGAAUAUGAAGUCUGAAAUAUUUGAUCCAAUUAUAUGAUAUUUAUCAGCUCAGCACAAUGUUAUGAUAUGAUAUUGCAAAUGAAAACCCUGAGGCAUAGGAUUUUGUCUGCUUUGGUUAUAGGCCCUGCCACGGGUAAUAAUACGGUUUUCUGGGUCAAGGGCAGAAGGAGAAGAGGAUGAAAGUCAAGCUCUUACGUAUCUUUCCCAUGAUAUUGUAUUCUGUUGUUUUGUUUUAUUUGCAUUUUCAUUGAAUGUCUAUUGGACUUGAUGAAUUCCCUGCAUGGUUUAUGGUUGGUAAUUUAUGGGCUUCGAUGAUUAUUGGAUUUACUGGAUUAUGCUUCAUUUAUGCCUAGGAAGUUCAAAUUCAUUCUGUUUGAGUUAUGAUCAUAUUACAAAUUCCCAUUGAUCCUCUAAUCCAAGUUCAGAUUUUGGAAAAACCUAGUAUUUUUCUUUUUUCUUUUGGCUGUUGAAUGGGAAAGAUAACACCCAUUUUCACUGUAGCUCAGAAUACCCAUUUUCCCUUUUUGUUUCAAUGGCUCAAGGUGGGAAGCUAGAAGUCAACUAUAUUGGUAGAACUUUAUUGAUAAAAACUUCACCACAUUGUUAAUUCUUUUGGAAAAAACUUUGUAUUUUCCCUUUUUCUUUUGGCUGUUGAAUUGGAAAGAUACCACCUGUUUU